AUUAGGAUACCGAUUCAGGAAGAUUUUUGUGGUAUAAGUGAUGGUUCUACCAUACUUGUAACAAAAAGUAGGUUUUACAGUUUUAGCAAUGUGAAGUAUGCACAAAACUAAAUAAUGAUAUGAGAUAUCGUCGCUUGGCUGUGCGGCAGAGAGGAGGACACUAGGACCUGGGGAAGAAUUGGGUGAGGCAUGACUGGUAGGGGUGCUAGAACUAAUUGUCACACAAACAAGACCAGGUGAAACAACUUAUUUAUGGUAAGCCAAACGAUCGGAAGAUGAGAAGGGGAACGGGAAGCUGGGCUCUUUGUUUGUUCAGGGGGGCGAGCUGAUUCAGUGCAUAACGCAAACUGCUAAAACAAGCAUUUUGAUUCAUCAUGAGCGGGGCUGAUUACUAAUGUAUUAUUGGAAGGCACAAGCUACUAAAACAAGGCGGUUGCACUCGAGGGACAGUGGGCGCACGUGUGGUGUUUACUUUUAUUGGAUGCAGUGGUUUGGUGUGAGGGUGUCACAUAUAGGUAAAUGCUGUGGUGAUGUAGUGGUUUGUUUUGGAGUAUUAAGUCUUCACUCCACUUGUACCUCCAUGUACUGCCUGGGUUGGUUUAUUUUGUCUUUUCGAUUAUGUGUUUUAUGCCUAUAAGGGACUUGUGAAAUAAAACUGCUCCGUAAAAGCGUCUAUACCUGAAGUCCACACUGCUGGUUUAUUCUAUAUACAUGGUUUACCUGUAAGCUCAUCCACUGGGCAAGGUUACAGCUGCAUAAGUUGAACACCAUCUACAUCAAUUCCAUGUGACAGUACUAAAUCUAGAGUAUGUUUUCGACAAUGAAUAGGUCCUGAGACGUGUUGUCUAACCCCAAUAGAGUUGAGAAUGUUUAUUAAUGCUGAUCUUAAUGCAUCCUUUUCAUUAUUAACAUAGAUAAUAAAAUCACCAACAAUAAAACUUUA
This is a long non-coding RNA of Carassius auratus (goldfish), 943 nucleotides long. RefSeq lists it as uncharacterized. NCBI's taxonomy places the organism in Eukaryota, Metazoa, Chordata, Actinopteri, Cypriniformes, Cyprinidae. The record is from RefSeq and is a predicted model, not a curated record. The transcript has 3 exons.